UGCAAGUCGAACGAGCCCUUCGGGGCGAGUGGCGAAAGGGCGAGUAACGCGAUCGAACGUAUCCCGAGGUGAGGGAUAGCCUGUGGAAACGCAGGGUAAUACCUCAUGUGCUCUACGGAGGAAAGGCUUGCUGCCUUGGGAGCGGCGAUCGUCCUAUCAGGUUGUUGGUGAGGUAACGGCUCACCAAGCCGAAGACGGGUAGCGGGUGUGAGAGCACGACCCGCCGCAUCGGGACUGAGACACUGCCCGGACUCCUACGGGAGGCUGCAGUAACGAAUCUUCCGCAAUGGGCGAAAGCCUGACGGAGCAAUGCCGCGUGUGGGAUGAAGCUGCUACGCAGUGUAAACCACUGUCAGGGUCUCGCAACACUGAGCAGACCCAGAGGAAGGGCCGGCUAAACUCGUGCCAGCAGCCGCGGUAAUACGAGUGGCCCAAGCGUUAUUCGGAAUCACUGGGCUUAAAGCGUGCGCAGGCGGACCGGUAGGCAUCUCGUGAAAGCCCACGGCUCAACCGUGGAAAUGCGGGGUGAACCACCGGUCUCGAGGCAGGUAGGGGUCAGUGGAACUAUGGGUGGAGCGGUGAAAUGCGUAGAUAUCCAUGGGAACGCCAAUGGCGAAGGCAACUGACUGGGCCUGUCCUGACGCUCAGGCACGAAAGCGUGGGGAGCGAACGGGAUUAGAUACCCCGGUAGUCCACGCCGUAAACGAUGCGCACUAGGUCGGGGGAGCUCUCACGCUCUCCCGGCCGAAGGUAAACUGAUUAGUGCGCCGCCUGGGGAGUACGGUCGCAAGGCUAAAACUCAAAGGAAUUGACGGGGGCUCACACAAGCGGUGGAGCAUGUUGCUUAAUU
Molecule: ribosomal RNA, 850 nt
Filed under: uncultured Planctomycetota bacterium
Lineage: Bacteria; Pseudomonadati; Planctomycetota
Description: bacterial SSU rRNA
Rfam family: Bacterial small subunit ribosomal RNA
Source: RNAcentral